GAAAUGCGAUAAGUAGUGUGAAUUGCAGAAUUCAGUGAAUCAUCGAAUCUUUGAACGCACAUUGCGCCCCUUGGUAUUCCAUGGGGCAUGCCUGUUCGAGCGUCAUUUGUACCCUCAAGCUCUGCUUGGUGUUGGGUGUUUGUCCCGUCUCCGCGCGUGGACUCGCCCCAAAGUGAUUGGCAGCCGGCGUACUGGUCCCGGAGCGCAGCACAUGUCGCGCAAACGAGUGCCUUGGUACGGCGGCGUCCAUAAGCCCCUCUCUCACGCUCUUGACCUCAGAUCAGGUAGGGAUACCCGCUGAACUUAAGC
This 309-nucleotide unclassified non-coding RNA is filed under the name plant metagenome. Its description in RNAcentral is "partial contains 5.8S ribosomal RNA, internal transcribed spacer 2, and large subunit ribosomal RNA". The stretch from base 1 to 105 matches the Rfam family "5.8S ribosomal RNA", at positions 50 to 154 of the family's 154-position model. The record is from RNAcentral.